Podarcis raffonei (Aeolian wall lizard) is the source of this 1438-nucleotide long non-coding RNA. RefSeq lists it as uncharacterized. The transcript has 2 exons. The record is from RefSeq and is a predicted model, not a curated record. NCBI's taxonomy places the organism in Eukaryota, Metazoa, Chordata, Lepidosauria, Squamata, Lacertidae.
AACAUUAAAAGCCUCCCUAAACAGGGCCGCCUUCAGAUGUCUUCUAAAAGUCAGAUAGUGGUUUAUUUCCUUGACAUCUGGUGGGAGGGCGUUCCACAGGGCGGGUGCCACCACCGAGAAGGCCCUCUGCCUGGUUCCCUGUAACUUGGCUUCUCGCAGUGAGGGAACCGCCAGAAGGCCCUUGGAGCUGGACCUCAGUGUCCGGGUAGAACGAUGGGGGUAGAGACGCACUGGACCGAGGCCGUUUAGGGCUUUCAGGGUCAGCACCAACACUUUGAAUUGUGCUCGGAAACGUAUUGGGAGCCAAUAUAGAUCUUUCAAGACCGGUGUUAUAUGGUCUCGGUGGCCGCUCCCAGUCACCAAUCUAGCUGCUGCAUUCUGGAUUAGUUGUAGUUUCCGGGUCACCUUCAAAGGUAGCCCCACACAGAAACAAACCCCAAGCUGAAUCAGGGUGCCUUGGGAGUGUUUUGGUGCUUCCAUGAGGAGGGAUCUCUAUGAGGCCCCCGCAAGCUGAAGUAGGGAACUCUCCCUCCCUCUGAAACCUUGUGGUGCUUUGCUUGCUCAGUCACAACAUACAAACCCUGCUCUUUUUUGCAAAAAGCAAAACCAAGCUUACAGAAUACACCCUUGGUUGAGAGGGAAGAAUCGUCCAAGGUGUCUGACAGGACUAACUUUUAAUCAGAGGCAACUAUUUUAUCAGGAAUCCCCAGUUACAGUGCUUUUUACGGAAGGACGCUGACUCAAAUGUUUGUCUCACGUGCUCACUGCUCUUUGGCUAGUUCUGCCUCUCCCGAGUUCUCAGGUCUACUCCAGCAGGGCCUUCCUUAAAUUCCAAUCGUUGGGUAAAAGGAGAGUAAAUGAAGGAGUUACUUAUGCAGUAAAACUGACCUAGAUAUGGCUCACCAGCUACAUGUACCUGGACCAUUAAACCACACUUGGAUUCUGGAAUUUUCUAUCAGCUGUUAAGUGACAGUUAGAAGCAGGUGGAGUUCUGAAUCUUGGCACAUGGCUGGUGCCACCCCACUGUGAAGCUAUAGAGGUGUGAAGCUAUUAACACACUGAUUGUUCCUUCCAACCCUUCCUCUCUACUAGCUAGAAUGAUGUUCCGUGAAUUCAGAGAAUAGAGGAUUCCAUUUAAUGCCUCCCUCCCAAGAACUUAAGUCGAUCAUUGUUCUCCUGUAUUUUAUCUCCACAGCAAACCUGCGAGGUAGUCUGAAUCAAGGUCGCCCAGUGAACUACAGGGCUGAAUGGCAAUUUGUGUCUGGGCUUCCUACAGCCGGGCUGGUUCCAGACCACACUCUGACCACUCUACCACAUUGCUCUGAGCUCUAUAAAUGCAUACAUGGGAAGAGAACGAAGGGGAAAUUGAAGAAUAUGUCUAUACGGUGCAUAUCUCAAGGAAACUAUAGUUUCUAAUUAUCCUCCACCCUUUCCUACA